ACAGCCUCCCCAUCUCCCAGAGCACCCGGCCAGCUGCUCCCACUCCUACCUCGCCGGCCCCACGAGGCUGCUCCGGGCGUGGUUUCCAGCCUGCUCCCUCCGCACCCGGGCCACCUGCCCCUGACAGUGUCAAUAUUGAUGCCCCCACCCCCCCGCCAGGCGCCCGCUUUGGGGGGGGCAGGGAGCGGGGGAAGGGCACCGGGAGACGCGAACAGCUCCCAGAUUUUCGACUCAAUUGCUGCGAGGAGAGAUGAGAAAUUGCCUUUCUGACCUAAAACCGGAGUUCACAGCUGCACUUCAUUACGGACUCCUCCAGGCGGCCCUGGGAGAGAUGCGGCUCGGGAAGGGCUCACCUGUUAGCAGCAGCUGUGCCUGCCUCUCGCACGAGCACGUUGGUGGUUUCCUGCCCUGGGCAGCACGGGGCAGGCUGCCAGCGGUGCCCCCAAAGCCCCCCUCCCCCUCCAGUUUGCAUGAACUCCGUGGUGGAGGGAGAAAGAGGCACCAGAUCAGCGAGUAGGAGGGGGAAGAAAUGGCCGCAGGUCUGGGUCUCACGCUCUUUAGAAGGCACCAGAAGGCAAGGGGUUCAUGUUCCCUCUGGGGUUCCACCUCAUUUCUCCGGUCUCAUGCACGCAUCGCUGGGCGAACAUGAGCACGGCGGGCACCUAGAGCAUCUCUGGGUAUACAGUAAGUGCUCAGUAAGUGCUCUCUUCCUUCCUCCCGUGCUGCUGGCCUCUCUGUGCUUCUGAGAUGCCACCGUGCAGCAUCUGACAGUCACGGAAAGGGCACAGGCUCCAGAGGACCAGGGGCUCUCUACUCCGGCUGCACAUGAGAAUCCCAUCUGUGGAGCUUGCGGAAAGACCCAGAAGCUUGCUGCAGGACCCCUGAGGUCGAGCCCAGAAGGCCGCGGCCAAGGCAGGAGCAAAGGAGCCCAGAGCCGGCUGCGGAAGGAGCGCCGGGCUUCGGAGCCAGCCUCUCUAACCGUGGAGCGGCCCUGGCCUUGCCUGCCAGCUGUGCUCCUCCCUCUGCCUCGAGGACUUGCACUCAGGUCCCCAGCGCUGGGACGUGCCGGCCUCAGGGUACUGGGCUCUGCUCCCCAAGUGUGCCCCAGCGGGAGAGAGCACGUCAGCCUGGCCGUGAGAAGAGGUGUGACAGCACGCAAGUCCCUUCUCUGGAACUUUGCUGACCAUGCUGAGUGCAGACCGUUUCUGAGCUGUACCGGGGAAGCUGCGUCCCCUCCCCCUCCUCCACGGUCGGGCCUCACACCUAAAGUCCUGUCUCACUGCA
Molecule: long non-coding RNA, 1284 nt
Organism: Mustela lutreola (European mink)
Lineage: Eukaryota; Metazoa; Chordata; Mammalia; Carnivora; Mustelidae
Exons: 2
Source: RefSeq, a predicted model, not a curated record